RNAcentral lists this ribosomal RNA (253 nucleotides) under uncultured bacterium. Its description in RNAcentral is "partial 16S ribosomal RNA". It matches the Rfam family "Bacterial small subunit ribosomal RNA", at positions 524 to 776 of the family's 1533-position model. The record is from RNAcentral.
UACAGAGGUCUCAAGCGUUGUUCGGAUUCAUUGGGCGUAAAGCGUGCGCAGGCGGUUUUGUAAGCCAGAUGUGAAAUCCCCGGGCUUAACCUGGGAAUGGCAUUUGGGACUGCAAGGCUGGAGUGUGGCAGAGGAGACUGGAAUUCCUGGUGUAGCAGUGAAAUGCGUAGAUAUCAGGAGGAAUACCGAUGGCGAAGGCAGGUCUCUGGGCUGACACUGACGCUCAUGCACGAAAGCGUGGGGAGCAAACAGG